Molecule: long non-coding RNA, 4023 nt
Organism: Haliotis rubra (blacklip abalone)
Lineage: Eukaryota; Metazoa; Mollusca; Gastropoda; Lepetellida; Haliotidae
Exons: 3
Source: RefSeq, a predicted model, not a curated record
CUUACUUGUACACAGACCAUCAAACAUGGUGGCCAAUCUAAUUGUACUGACUGAGGUACCAGUGUGCUUACUUGUACACAGACCAUCAAACAUGGUGGCCAAUCUGAUUGUACUGACUGAGGUACCAGUGUGCUUACUGGUACACAGACCAUCAAACAUGGUGGCCAAUAUGAUUGUACUGACUGAGGUACCAGUGUACUGGUAUAUUUGUUUUGGUUUCAGAAUUAUUCUUUCCAUAACUUUUCUGAUCAUUUGUGGCAGAGCUGUAGUGUGGCGAAGUUAAGAUAGGUUUUAUGAAAACAGGAAUCUGUUUUACGUGUAUAUCUUGGGUUUGUGUGUGUUUUUGGUUCUGUUUUGACCAACUACUUAAUGAUGCUGUGAAUGUCUGCAAGCGAGUCGGCAACGAAUGAGGGCUGUGUCUGAGUAGCUUCAGUAUUAUUUAUUUCUGUACAUACAUAGAUAGAUUUUAACCUUCUCAUGGAUAUAUACAAGAAUAUGCUCCAUUUGUACAAUACUUUGGACAGAAUUUAAUAUAUAUGGGAAAUACAUAUGUGAAUGUCUUGUUAACUGGACAGGUGAAAAUCUUCACACCUGGACAUGUGAAUGUCUUCACACCUGGGCCUGUGAAUGUCUUCACACCUGGACAUGUGGAUGUCUUCACACCUGGGCCUGUGAAUGUUGUGACACCUGGAAAUGUGAAUGUCUUAAUUGCUGGACAUGUGAAUGUCUUCACACCUGGACAUGUGAAUGUCUUCACACCUGGGCCUGUGAAUGUCUUCACACCUGGACAUGUGAAUGUCUUCACACCUGGACAGGUGAAUGUCUUCACACCUGGACAGGUGGAUGUCUUCACACCUGGGCAUGUCAAUAUCUUAACACCUAUUAAUGGUGUAUUGUAUUGUUGAUGCAUAUUGCUUUUAGUCAGUUAAUGUUCCAUCAUUCAUUAUUUCAACGAUUUAAGUUACAAUUUGUUAUCCUGAACAAUUUACCUGCUUCGUUUUGUCAUGUUUAGUUCUUGGGUAUUGUACUCUACUGAAGUACUCUGCUGUAGAAUCUUUUUCAUCGACAUGCCAGCAUGCAUUUCAUUAACUGUAACCAUAGUAACAUGCAUUCUAAAUGCAACAUUAUUUCUUAUCAAGUUAUAUAUCUUAAGGAAAAGAGCACAACCAAGAUUUGCAGGUGAACAUAUUUGAAAUGUGUUUAUUGCUGCAGUUUGAAUUCUACACCUAGAAUGAGUUCCUGUCCAGGCUCCAGUUCACAAAACUAUCAUAGUGCUAUGACUGUCGUAAGUCUAUGUUACAGUAUAGGAGAUUUGACAGUUGUAUCACUACGAUAGCUUUGUGAAACGGGGACCUGGUUCCUUCUGGAACCUGGGUACUCCCAACAGGGUUAGGACAGGUUCACUUUCAUGCUUCACUGUCGAGAUCUGUACUCCCAACAGGGUUAGGACAGGUUCACUUUCAUGCUUCACUGUCUAGAUCUGUACUCCAAACAGGGUUAGGACAGGUUCACUUUCAUGCUUCACUGUCUAGAUCUGUACUCCCAACAGGGUUAGGACAGGUUCACUGACUUGCUUCACUGUCUAGAUCUGUACUCCCAACAGGGUUAGGACAGGUUCACUGACAUGCUUCACUGUCUAGAUCUGUACUCCCAACAGGGUUAGGACAGGUUCACCUUCAUGCUUCACUGUCUAGAUCUGUACUCCCAACAGGGUUAGGACACGUUCACUGUCAUGCUUCACUGUCUAGAUCUGUACUCCCAACAGGGUUAGGACAGGUUCACUUUCAUGCUUCACUGUCUAGAUCUGUACUCCCAACAGGGUUAGGACAGGUUCACUGUCAUGCUUCACUGUCUAGAUCUGUACUCCCAACAGGGUUAGGACAGGUUCACUGUCAUGCUUCACUGUCUAGAUCUGUACUCCCAACAGGGUUAGGACAGGUUCACUGUCAUGCUUCACUGUCUAGAUCUGUACUCCCAACAGGGUUAGGACAGGUUCACCUUCAUGCUUCACUGUCUAGAUCUGUACUCCCAACAGGGUUAGGACAGGUUCACCUUCAUGCUUCCCUGUCUAGAUCUGUACUCCCAACAGGGUUAGGACAGGUUCACUGUCAUGCUUCACUGUCUAGAUCUGUACUCCCAACAGGGUUAGGACAGGUUCACUGACAUGCUUCACUGUCUAGAUCUGUACUCCCAACAGGGUUAGGACAGGUUCACCUUCAUGCUUCACUGUCUAGAUCUGUACUCCCAACAGGGUUAGGACAGGUUCACCAUCAUGCUUCACUGUCUAGAUCUGUACUCCCAACAGGGUUAGGACAGGUUCACCUUCAUGCUUCCCUGUCUAGAUCUGUACUCCCAACAGGGUUAGGACAGGUUCACCAUCAUGCUUCACUGUCUAGAUCUGUACUCCCAACAGGGUUAGGACACGUUCACUGACAUGCUUCACUGUCUAGAUCUGUACUCCCAACAGGGUUAGAACAGGUUCACUGUCAUGCUUCACUGUCUAGAUUUGUACCACAUACGCCUUUCCCUGCACAGACAUGUUCUAUUGGGGAUAAUACUGAUAUCAGUAUUCUCUGUUAACUCCAAACCGCAUAUGUCAAGAAUUAUUAAACAAACAAGCACUUUGUGACUUUGUGAAGAGUUUCAGUUUUUAACCACAGAGUUGCAUUCCGAAAUAAUUUGUACGGAAGCAAGUAUAGUUUCUGUGUUUAGACCAGCACUGCAACAAAAGAUGAGCUCCAAUAUAUUGUCACUUAUUUCCCUAUGCAUCCUGUUACUUCCUCAUCGGUCAUGUUUAUUCAUGUAUAUGGGGAUCAGCUGCUAUAGUUGGCAAACUAAAUCACAUUUUCUGUUCAGAGUUGAAAGGGGUGUACUUAAUGCAUCUGAAAGGACAGAUUUGGAUAACGAGGUAAAUAUUUUAUGCAUGUCAGUAGAAGGGAGCUAGUGUGCCGGCGAGCGGGCGUACGUGUUUUUAUUUAGCUCUCUCUGAGACGUGUUGGCACUUUCAGCACUGUAUUCCUGUCAUUGGUUUCCAUGGCAAUCCUUGGUUUGCCAGCACCAUGACCAGGUGCUGAACAUCUCUGGUUUGCAUCACUUGGACCUUCUGCUGACAUUAAACCUACAGUGAUAUUACAGUUCACUUUCUGUCAAACCGGUCUUCUCAAUAUAGGGUGUGAUUCAAAUGCAGCAAUAAAACAAGAAAAUGUUAAAACCUUUACAUUUCGGCCAAAUUUUCAUAUUGAUGGAACUCCAAUCAAUUUUACUACCUUCUCUGCUUAAAUAGGAUUUGAUCAUUACUCCCUGGUGCAACUGGAACUUUAACCCAUACUGACAAAGUUAACCUCUGUAAGGAUCGCUUCAAGCUCAAGCUGGCCUGCUGAACAGCCAGGGAUGUGUUUAACAUGGGCCUCAACUUCAGGACUAAUCUUAUAAGAACAUGGCCUCAUGUUUUGUGAGGCUCAUCACAAAAACAUUGUUUGCAUAUAGCAGUACUAGUAAAUAUAUUAUGUGUUGUCAAAAUAUAUUCCUGUCAGUAUUUAUCCUUACAGAAUUGAAUACACUGGAAAAUCCUGUAUCUGUUUGAAGUGACUGAAUAUUGUGACAUGUUGAACACAUCCCUGGUUGUCAUAUGGUCAGGGAUCCCUUACUGGCAGUCAUGUUAUCACAAGCUUAGAUUUCUGCAUUUAUUCGUAAUUUUUUUCUUCAUGGACAGUUGUUAUUUUAGCCACAUUGCUUUCUGAAGUCUUUCAAUCCAACAUGCAAUGUUGAUUUUAUGAACUUGUUGACAGUGCAGUGACCAUGAUAGUUCACUUCACUAGCUGUCCCUAUCUCCCCUGUGUAGAGGAAUAGCGACCUCGUCCUGUACAGGUAGUCUCACGAUUCUGUCAACAAAUAGCAGUUGUUGAGACAGUAGUAUUUUGCGUAGCUCUAUGUUCUGCAACAUGUUCUUGACACUGUUAGUGUGACCAUCAACCUGUGUUUGAAUAUCACAUCAUGGUCUGUGAAUAAAACUAUUACAAUCUC